Molecule: ribosomal RNA, 458 nt
Filed under: uncultured bacterium
Lineage: Bacteria
Description: partial 16S ribosomal RNA
Rfam family: Bacterial small subunit ribosomal RNA
Source: RNAcentral
AACGAACGCUGGCGGCAGGCCUAACACAUGCAAGUCGAGCGCGCCCUUCGGGGUGAGCGGCGGACGGGUGAGUAACGCGUGGGAACGUGCCCUUCUCUGCGGAAUAGCCUCGGGAAACUGAGAGUAAUACCGCAUACGCCCUUUGGGGGAAAGAUUUAUCGGAGAAGGAUCGGCCCGCGUUGGAUUAGGUAGUUGGUGGGGUAAUGGCCCACCAAGCCGACGAUCCAUAGCUGGUUUCAGAGGGUGAUCGGCCACACUGGGACUGAGACACGGCCCAGACUCCUGCGGGAGGCAGCAGUAGGGAAUCUUCCGCAAUGGGGGCAAGCCUGAUGGAGCAAGGCCGCGUGAGUGAUGAAGGGCUUCGGAUCGUAAAACUCUGGUAUUAGGGCAGAACGUAGGUGUACGUAACUGUGCACAUCCUGACGGUACCUAAACAGAAAGCAACGGCUAACUACGUG